GAUUGUUGAUCCUGGCUCAGGAUGAACGCUAGCGGCAGGCAUAACACAUGCAAGUCGAGGGGUAGAACACUUCGGUGUUUGAGACCGGCGCACGGGUGCGUAACGCGUAUGCAAUCUACCUUGUACAGGGGAAUAGCCCAGAGAAAUUUGGAUUAAUGCCCCAUAGUAUAUAACCUUCGCAUGUUGGUUAUAUUAAAGUUCCAACGGUACAAGAUGAGCAUGCGUCCCAUUAGUUAGUUGGUAAGGUAACGGCUUACCAAGACGAUGAUGGGUAGGGGUCCUGAGAGGGAGAUCCCCCACACUGGUACUGAGACACGGACCAGACUCCUACGGGAGGCAGCAGUGAGGAAUAUUGGUCAAUGGUCGCAAGACUGAACCAGCCAUGCCGCGUGCAGGAAGACGGUCCUAUGGAUUGUAAACUGCUUUUAUACAGGAAGAAACCCUCCCACGUGUGGGAGCUUGACGGUACUGUAGGAAUAAGGAUCGGCUAACUCCGUGCCAGCAGCCGCGGUAAUACGGAGGAUCCAAGCGUUAUCCGGAAUCAUUGGGUUUAAAGGGUCCGUAGGCGGUCUUAUAAGUCAGUGGUGAAAGCCCAUCGCUCAACGAUGGAACUGCCAUUGAUACUGUAAGACUUGAAUGCUUAGGAAGUAACUAGAAUAUGUAGUGUAGCGGUGAAAUGCUUAGAUAUUACAUGGAAUACCAAUUGCGAAGGCAGGUUACUACUAAGUGAUUGACGCUGAUGGACGAAAGCGUGGGGAGCGAACAGGAUUAGAUACCCUGGUAGUCCACGCCGUAAACGAUGGAUACUAGCUGUUCGGAGCAAUCUGAGUGGCUAAGCGAAAGUGAUAAGUUCCCAC
Molecule: ribosomal RNA, 857 nt
Filed under: uncultured bacterium
Lineage: Bacteria
Description: bacterial SSU rRNA
Rfam family: Bacterial small subunit ribosomal RNA
Source: RNAcentral